RNAcentral lists this ribosomal RNA (497 nucleotides) under uncultured bacterium. RNAcentral's name for it is "partial 16S ribosomal RNA". It matches the Rfam family "Bacterial small subunit ribosomal RNA", at positions 28 to 507 of the family's 1533-position model. The record is from RNAcentral.
GAUGAACGCUGGCGGCGUGCCUAAUACAUGCCAGUCGAGCGAACAGACGCGGCGCUUGCUGCUCUGACGUUAGCGGCGGACGGGUGAGUAACACGUGGAUAACCUCCCUAUAAGACUGGGAUAACUUCGGGAAACCGGAGCUAAUACGGGAUAAUAUAUUGAACCGCAUGGUUGAAUAGUGAAAGACGGUUUUGCUGUCACUUAUCGAUGGAUCCGCGCCGCAUUAGCUAGUUGGUAAGGUAAAGGGUUACCAAGGCAACGAGGCGUAGCCGACCUGAGAGGGGGAUCGCCCGCACUCGAACGGGAACACGGUCCAGACGCCUACGGGAGGCAGCAGUAGGGAACCUUCCGCAAUAGGCGAAAGCCUGACGGAGCAGCGCCGCGUGAGUUAUAAAGGUCUUCGGAUCGGAAUACUCGGUUAUUAGGUAAGAACAUAUUUGUAAGUAACUGUGCACAGCUUGACGGUACCUAAUCAGAAAGCCACGGCUAACUACGUG